Molecule: ribosomal RNA, 814 nt
Filed under: uncultured bacterium
Lineage: Bacteria
Description: bacterial SSU rRNA
Rfam family: Bacterial small subunit ribosomal RNA
Source: RNAcentral
GCAGUCGACGGUACAGGUGUAGCAUACAUGCUGACGAGUGGCGCACGGGUGCGUAACGCGUAUGCAACCUACCUAUAACUGGGGAAUAGCCUUCUGAAAGGAAGAUUAACACCGCAUAACAUCACGAGACGGCAUCGCCUUGUGAUCAAAUCUCCGGAGGUUAUAGAUGGGCAUGCGUGACAUUAGCUAGUUGGUGAGGUAACGGCUCACCAAGGCGACGAUGUCUAGGGGGUCUGAGAGGAUGAUCCCCCACACUGGUACUGAGACACGGACCAGACUCCUACGGGAGGCAGCAGUAAGGAAUAUUGGACAAUGGGCGCAAGCCUGAUCCAGCCAUGCCGCGUGAAGGAUGACGGCCCUCCGGGUUGUAAACUUCUUUUAUACGGGAAUAAACCCCUCGAUUCUUCGAGGGCUGAAUGUACCGUAAGAAUAAGGAUCGGCUAACUUCGUGCCAGCAGCCGCGGUAAUACGAAGGAUCCAAGCGUUAUCCGGAUUUAUUGGGUUUAAAGGGUGCGUAGGCGGACUAUUAAGUCAGUGGUGAAAGCCUGCAGCUCAACUGCAGAAUUGCCAUUGAUACUGAUGGUCUUGAGUACAUUUGAGGUGGGCGGAAUGUGUCAUGUAGUGGUGAAAUACUUAGAUAUGACACAGAACUCCGAUUGCGAAGGCAGCUCACUAAACUGUAACUGACGCUGAGGCACGAAAGCGUGGGGAUCAAACAGGAUUAGAUACCCUGGUAGUCCACGCCCUAAACGAUGAUUACUCGAUGUGUGCGAUACACUGUACGCGUCUGAGCGAAAGCAUUAAGUAAUCCACC